GCGUAACACGUGAGCAACCUAUCCCGAAGACCGGGAUAACACCGGGAAACCGGUGCUAAUACUGGAUGCCCCCACCGGGUCGCAUGGCCUGGUGAGGAAAGGAAUUUCGCUUUGGGAGGGGCUCGCGGCCUAUCAGCUUGUUGGUGGGGUAACGGCUCACCAAGGCCACGACGGGUAGCUGGUCUGAGAGGACGACCAGCCACACUGGGACUGAGACACGGCCCAGACUCCUACGGGAGGCAGCAGUAGGGAAUCUUGCGCAAUGGGCGAAAGCCUGACGCAGCAACGCCGCGUGGGGGAUUAAGGCCUUCGGGUUGUAAACCCCUUUCAGCAGGGACGAAACUGACGGUACCUGCAGAAGAAGCCCCGGCCAACUACGUGCCAGCAGCCGCGGUAAUACGUAGGGGGCGAGCGUUGUCCGGAUUCAUUGGGCGUAAAGAGCUCGUAGGCGGCUUGGCAAGUCGGGUGUGAAACCUCCAGGCUCAACCUGGAGCGGCCACUCGAUACUGCCAUGGCUAGAGUCCGGUAGGGGACCACGGAACUCCUGGUGUAGCGGUGAAAUGC
Molecule: ribosomal RNA, 564 nt
Filed under: uncultured bacterium
Lineage: Bacteria
Description: bacterial SSU rRNA
Rfam family: Bacterial small subunit ribosomal RNA
Source: RNAcentral